This is a long non-coding RNA of Oncorhynchus nerka (sockeye salmon), 642 nucleotides long. RefSeq lists it as uncharacterized. The record is from RefSeq and is a predicted model, not a curated record. The transcript has 2 exons. NCBI's taxonomy places the organism in Eukaryota, Metazoa, Chordata, Actinopteri, Salmoniformes, Salmonidae.
CUGGUCUCAGAUUAACUUCUAGAGAAACUACAACAGCUGCAAGCUCACCCCUCUGAGUCCACUCUUUAUGGCGGGAGAGAAUGCAUCUGUUCUAUGUGGCAAGCUUUAACCUCAUAUGAUGGGGUCAGAGUAAAUGUUUUACUUUGAUUUACCAGUACAUCUAAGAUUCCUUACAACCGGAAGUGUAAUCUGUUUUAGAUGUUGUGGUGGAGGUGCAGCUGGACACCUCCAGGCUGUAUAAGGGCUAUUUGACCAAAAAGGAGAGUGAUGGAGUGCUGCAUCAGAUGACCUGGCCUCCACAAUCAGCCGACCUCAACCCACUUGAGAUUGUUUGGGAUGAGUUGGACCACAGAGUGAAGGAAAAGCAGCCAGCAAGUGCUCAGCAUAUGUGGGAACUCAUUAAAGACUGUUGGAAAAGCAUUCCAGGUGAAGCUGGUUGAGAGAAUGCCAAGAGCGUGCAAAGCUGCCAUCAAGGCAAAGGGUGGCUACUGUGAAGAAUCUAAAAUCUAAAAUAUAUUUGGAAUUGUUUCACACUUUUUUGGUUACUACAUUAUUCUAUAUGUGUUAUUUCAUAGUGUUGAUGUCUUCACUAUUAUUCUACAAUGUAGAAAAUAGUAAAAUAAAGAAAAACCCUUGAAUAAG